Molecule: ribosomal RNA, 164 nt
Filed under: Phyllanthus caroliniensis
Lineage: Eukaryota; Viridiplantae; Streptophyta; Magnoliopsida; Malpighiales; Phyllanthaceae
Also listed under: 2 other names
Description: 5.8S ribosomal RNA
Rfam family: 5.8S ribosomal RNA
About the family: 5.8S ribosomal RNA (5.8S rRNA) is a component of the large subunit of the eukaryotic ribosome.
Source: RNAcentral
AAAACGACUCUCGGCAACGGAUAUCUCGGCUCUCGCAUCGAUGAAGAACGCAGCGAAAUGCGAUACUUGGUGUGAAUUGCAGAAUCCCGUGAACCAUCGAGUCUUUGAACGCAAGUUGCGCCCAAAACCUUCGGGUCGAGGGCACGUCUGCCUGGGUGUCACGC